GCACAAGCGGUGGAUGAUGUGGUUUAAUUCGAUGCAACGCGAAAAACCUUACCUACCCUUGACAUGUCUGGAAUCUUUUAGAGAUAGAAGAGUGCCCGAAAGGGAGCCAGAACACAGGUGCUGCAUGGCUGUCGUCAGCUCGUGUCGUGAGAUGUUGGGUUAAGUCCCGCAACGAGCGCAACCCUUGUCAUUAGUUGCUACAUUUAGUUGGGCACUCUAAUGAGACUGCCGGUGACAAACCGGAGGAAGGUGGGGAUGACGUCAAGUCCUCAUGGCCCUUAUGGGUAGGGCUACACACGUCAUACAAUGGCCGGUACAAAGGGCUGCCAACCCGCGAGGGGGAGCUAAUCCCAUAAAACCGGUCGUAGUCCGGAUCGUAGUCUGCAACUCGACUGCGUGAAGUCGGAAUCGCUAGUAAUCGUGGAUCAGCAUGUCACGGUGAAUACGUUCCCGGGUCUUGUACACACCGCCCGUCACACCAUGGGAGCGGGUUCUGCCAGAAGUAGUUAGCCUAACCGCAAGGAGGGCGAUUACCACGGCAGGGUUCGUGACUGGGGUGAAGUCGUAACAAGGUA
Molecule: ribosomal RNA, 575 nt
Filed under: uncultured soil bacterium
Lineage: Bacteria
Description: bacterial SSU rRNA
Rfam family: Bacterial small subunit ribosomal RNA
Source: RNAcentral